GAGCCCAAGCGCCUGAGACAGGACCCCAGCGGCUCCACCAUGGACUUGGUGCCAAGCUGCGUUUUCCUCCUGAUCAUUUCUCAAGGUGUCCAGUGUGAGGUGCAGCUGGUGGAGUCUGGGGGAGGCCUGGUGCAGCCUGGGGGGUCUCUUAGACUCUCCUGUGCAGCCUCUGGAUUCACCUUCAGUAGCUACUGGAUGCACUGGGUCCGCCAGGCUCCAGGGAAGGGGCUGGAGUGGGUCGCACUCAUUAGUGGUCCUAGUGGUAGUACCAUAAACUAUGCCGCCUCAGUGAAGGGCCACUUCACCAUCUCCAGAGACAACGCCAAGAACUCGCUGUAUCUGCAAAUGAGCAGCCUGAGAGCCGAGGACACCGCCAUGUAUUACUGUGCAAGUGUCCUGUCCCAGGUGCAGCUGUGGGAGUCAGGCCCAGGACUGGUGAAGCCCUCGCAAACCCUCUCCCUCACCAGCUCUGUCUCUGGAUUCUCCAUCACAACCAGUGGUUACCUCUGGAACUGGAUCCUCCAGCCCCCGGGAAAGGGUCUGGAGUGGAUUGGGGGCAUAUGGCCCUGCCACCAGCUGGGCAGCCGCCACCAAUUCGCCACUGCCAUCCCCUCUUGGUCCUCACGUUGCCAUGGGCCAGAGCAGUACUAA
Myotis daubentonii (Daubenton's bat) is the source of this 651-nucleotide non-coding RNA. NCBI's taxonomy places the organism in Eukaryota, Metazoa, Chordata, Mammalia, Chiroptera, Vespertilionidae. The record is from the annotation of a RefSeq genome assembly.